UACGUAGGUGGCAAGCGUUGUCCGGAUUUACUGGGCGUAAAGGGCGUGCAGGCGGUCUGUUAAGUGCAGGGUGAAAGCUCCCGGCUCAACUGGGAGAGGUCCUUGCAUACUGGCGGACUUGAGGGGGGUAGAGGAAAGUGGAAUUCCCAGUGUAGUGGUGAUAUGCGUAGAUAUCGGGAGGAACACCUGUGGCGAAGGCGGCUUUCUGGGCCCUACCUGACGCUGAGACGCGAAAGCGUGGGGAGCAAACAGG
Molecule: ribosomal RNA, 253 nt
Filed under: uncultured bacterium
Lineage: Bacteria
Description: partial 16S ribosomal RNA
Rfam family: Bacterial small subunit ribosomal RNA
Source: RNAcentral